This 66-nucleotide transfer RNA is filed under the name Symploce pallens. RNAcentral describes it as "tRNA-Glu". It matches the Rfam family "tRNA". From Rfam's summary of the family: Transfer RNA (tRNA) molecules are approximately 80 nucleotides in length. Lineage: Eukaryota; Metazoa; Arthropoda; Insecta; Blattodea; Blattellidae. The record is from RNAcentral.
AUUUAUGUAGUUUAUAUAAAACAUUACACUUUCAUUGUAAAAAUAAAACAUUAAUUUUCAUAAAUA